GUUAGUGGCAGACGGGUGAGUAAUGCGUAGGAAUCUACCUAGUAGUAUGGAAUAGCUAUUAGAAAUGAUAGGUAAUACUGUAUAAUCCCUGCGGGGGAAAGAUUUAUCGCUAUUAGAUGAGCCUACGUUAGAUUAGCUAGUUGGUAAGGUAAUGGCUUACCAAGGCUAUGAUCUAUAGCUGGUCUGAGAGGACGAUCAGCCACACUGGAACUGAGAUACGGUCCAGACUCCUACGGGAGGCAGCAGUGGGGAAUAUUGGACAAUGGGCGAAAGCCUGAUCCAGCUAUGCCGCGUGAGUGAAGAAGGCCUUCGGGUUGUAAAACUCUUUCAAUAGGGAAGAUAAUGACGGUACCUAUA
RNAcentral lists this ribosomal RNA (357 nucleotides) under uncultured Ehrlichia sp. RNAcentral describes it as "bacterial SSU rRNA". It matches the Rfam family "Bacterial small subunit ribosomal RNA", at positions 91 to 483 of the family's 1533-position model. The record is from RNAcentral. Lineage: Bacteria; Pseudomonadati; Pseudomonadota; Alphaproteobacteria; Rickettsiales; Anaplasmataceae.